UGAGGAAUAUUGCGCAAUGGGGGCAACCCUGACGCAGCAACGCCGCGUGAGUGAGGAAGGUUUUCGGACCGUAAAGCUCUGUCGAGCGGGAAGAAAUGCAUAGUGGCUAAUAUCCAUCAUGCUUGACGGUACCGCUAAAGGAAGCACCGGCUAACUCCGUGCCAGCAGCCGCGGCAAUACGGGGGGUGCGAGCGUUGUUCGGAAUUAUUGGGCGUAAAGAGCGUGUAGGCGGCCGAAUAAGUCAGAUGUGAAAUCCCUGGGCUUAACCCAGGACGUGCAUUUGAAACUAUUCGGCUGGAGUAGGGGAGAGGAAAGUGGAAUUCCUGGUGUAGAGGUGAAAUUCGUAGAUAUCAGGAGGAACACCGGUAGCGAAGGCGACUUUCUGGCCCUAUACUGACGCUGAGACGCGAGAGCGUGGGUAGCAAACAG
RNAcentral lists this ribosomal RNA (429 nucleotides) under uncultured bacterium. RNAcentral describes it as "bacterial SSU rRNA". It matches the Rfam family "Bacterial small subunit ribosomal RNA", at positions 355 to 775 of the family's 1533-position model. The record is from RNAcentral.